GACCGAUUGGCCGAACGGGUGAUUAAUACAUUGGGAACGUACUCAGAAGUGGGGGGUUAACGCAGCGAAAGUUGCGCUAAUACCGCAUACGUUCUACGGAAGAAAGUGGGGGAUCUUCGGACCUCAUGCUUUUGGAGCGGCCGAUGUAUGAUUAGCUAGUUGGUGGGGUAAAGGCUCACCAAGGCGACGAUCAGUAGCUGGUCUGAGAGGACGACCAGCCACACUGGAACUGAGACACGGUCCAGACUCCUACGGGAGGCAGCAGUGGGGAAUUUUGGACAAUGGGCGCAAGCCUGAUCCAGCAAUGCCGCGUGAGUGAAGAAGGCCUUCGGGUUGUAAAGCUCUUUUGUCAGGGAAGAAACGGCUCCGGCUAAUAUCCGGAGCUAAUGACGGUACCUGAAGAAUAAGCACCGGCUAACUACGUGCCAGCAGCCGCGGUAAUACGUAGGGUGCAAGCGUUAAUCGGAAUUACUGGGCGUAAAGCGUGCGCAGGCGGUAAUGUAAGACAGAUGUGAAAUCCCCGGGCUCAACCUGGGAACUGCAUUUGUGACUGCAUUGCUGGAGUACGGCAGAGGGGGAUGGAAUUCCGCGUGUAGCAGUGAAAUGCGUAGAUAUGCGGAGGAACACCGAUGGCGAAGGCAAUCCCCUGGGCCUGUACUGACGCUCAUGCACGAAAGCGUGGGGAGCAAACAGGAUUAGAUACCCUGGUAGUCCACGCCCUAAACGAUGUCAACUGGUUGUUGGGUCUUCACUGACUCAGUAACGAAGCUAACGCGUGAAGUGACCGCC
Molecule: ribosomal RNA, 789 nt
Filed under: uncultured bacterium
Lineage: Bacteria
Description: bacterial SSU rRNA
Rfam family: Bacterial small subunit ribosomal RNA
Source: RNAcentral